ACGUACACUCCUGCGGGAGGCAGCAGUGGGGAAUUUUGGACAAUGGGCGAAAGCCUGAUCCAGCCAUGCCGCGUGCAGGAUGAAGGCCUUCGGGUUGUAAACUGCUUUUGUACGGAACGAAACGGCCUUUUCUAAUAAAGAGGGCUAAUGACGGUACCGUAAGAAUAAGCACCGGCUAACUACGUGCCAGCAGCCGCGGUAAAACGUAGGGUGCAAGCGUUAAUCGGAAUUACUGGGCGUAAAGCGUGCGCAGGCGGUUAUGUAAGACAGUUGUGAAAUCCCCGGGCUCAACCUGGGAACUGCAUCUGUGACUGCAUAGCUAGAGUACGGUAGAGGGGGAUGGAAUUCCGCGUGUAGCAGUGAAAUGCGUAGAUAUGCGGAGGAACACCGAUGGCGAAGGCAAUCCCCUGGACCUGUACUGACGCUCAUGCACGAAAGCGUGGGGAGCAAACAGGAUUAGAAACCCCGGUAGUCCC
This 476-nucleotide ribosomal RNA is filed under the name uncultured organism. RNAcentral describes it as "partial 16S ribosomal RNA". It matches the Rfam family "Bacterial small subunit ribosomal RNA", at positions 329 to 797 of the family's 1533-position model. The record is from RNAcentral.